AACCGGGGUACGCAGGGGAGUGUUGAAGAGAGUGCGCGCGCGAGAAGAGAGAGAUCAAGAGAACGGGCAUCGCCAGCUGCCCGGGGGGCCUUCACUUUGCAGUCAUCAUCUGUACAAACUCUGUGGAGUGAAGCAGAGAGAGAGGAGAGAUCAAGCCUGGCCUUGACUCACCUUCAUAAUUGACCUGGCCAUCUCCAUCGAUGUCAGCCUCCCUGAUCAUCUCAUCCACCUCCUCAUCGGUCAGCUUCUCCCCCAGGUUCGUCAUUACGUGACGCAGCUCUGCGGCGCUGAUGUAGCCAUUCCCAUCCUGGGGGUUGGGGAUAAAGCCUUUCACUGGGCACUUCUCCCGGCGGGGAGAGAGGCAGUGAGAGGGGUGGCUGUCAUCACCAUCCCUCAGCAGUGAGCACAGUGAGGGAGGCUGCCUGAGGUGGCAGAGCAGGUUGGCAAUGAGGCUGGCACCGGGACCCGGACCUCCUGGAAGUGGUAGCUCCGUGGCUCCAGUUCCGCCUGUCUGCCUGAAGGCUGGCGUCAGUCUCAGAGCCGCCCCUGGAGAGGGCUGCUUACCUUGUCAAAGACACGGAACGCCUCUCGGAUCUCCUCCUCACUGUCUGUGUCCUUCAUCUUUCUGGCCAUCAUGGUCAGGAACUCCGGGAAGUCAAUGGUCCCGUUCCCUGGAAGGUGGGGAAAGGAUGGAGAAUGCUCUUGGCCUGGGCCCUGAGAGACACGGGCUCAUCCAUCACCCUGAGGGAGGCUCCCUGCAGUCACUCGGGGUGACCAGGAGCAGGGCUGCCCACGCGCUCUGUGGGGCUCACCAUCUGCAUCCACCUCAUUGAUCAUAUCCUGCAGCUCUGCUUCAGUGGGGUUCUGUCCCAGGGAUCUCAUCACUGUCCCCAACUCCUUGGUGGUGAUAGUGCCAUCUCCAUCCUUGUCAAAGAGGGAGAAGGCCUCCUUGAACUCUGGGGGAAGAAGGGGGAGGAGUCAGAGGUCACAAGGUCCACAGGAGAAUCCUUACCUCUGGAUGCUGGAUGCCUUCCCUGGAGGAAGGCCAAGGGCAUCAGUCCCACCUAAAGAAACUGAGACAGACUUCAAGUCCCACGCAACCAGCUCUCUCUCCUCAGUGCUCAGGGCAAAGCCCUUCCAACCUUCAUUCAACAGUUAUUGAACAUCAACACUGUGCUAGGUAAAGCUAUUUUUCUGGCCAGCCAGUGAAGACAGUGGGGAAAAUGGUCUGACAGCUGUCCUUAGAUGAUUCUACAUUUCUGUUUGGUCCCCGGCUUUGACUUCUCCCUGAAAUGAUGAAAUGAACCAAAGUCAUGGAGUGAAUGAGA
Molecule: long non-coding RNA, 1328 nt
Organism: Pan troglodytes (chimpanzee)
Lineage: Eukaryota; Metazoa; Chordata; Mammalia; Primates; Hominidae
Exons: 2
Source: RefSeq, a predicted model, not a curated record